Triticum aestivum (bread wheat) is the source of this 782-nucleotide long non-coding RNA. RefSeq lists it as uncharacterized. Lineage: Eukaryota; Viridiplantae; Streptophyta; Magnoliopsida; Poales; Poaceae. The record is from RefSeq and is a predicted model, not a curated record. The transcript has 2 exons.
UUAUACGAUUUGUGGUGUGAAUGAUCGUGUGUGCGGCCCUACUUCCUUUCCUCCUAAGUAUGGCCACACUCAUGUCAAUUUCGUGGCUACUCCCAAAAGCACUUGUGGUGGUUCUGCGGCUUUGUUUUUUGCUGAAAUUAGCAACAAUGACCAAGACGACGAGUCCUUCUGUUGCCAUGUUGCUCUGCCUCCGCCAUGUGCUGCACAAAUUCGGUGUCUUUACUGUGAGUACAUUGGGACUAGAAUUGUGCAUCCAGCCGGGAUAGACUUCCAUGGGCGUGAGUCGGAGUUUGAGAAGAUGGCCUGCGGAAAAGACCCCCGUAACGGUGACUAUGUCCCUCCGUGGAGGGCACCAUACUACAGCAACUCGCAAAUCAUCAAUAAUAGGCGCGGCUUGGCAGAGAAUGUUUAUGGCAGGGAGAAAGAAGAUAGCCUCUAUGAUGACUUGGAUGAGCACAAGAGUGUGGAUCUGGGGCCCAUGAGUAUUCGACAAAUAUUUUUAGAAAUGUAGAGUUCUGUCAAAGCUACACAAGAGUGAGUAUGAUGUGUAGUUCUGUGACUAUAUGCAAGACAAUUAAAGUUUAUGUUGUCUCAGAGGUAGGAUAGUACUCCUGAAAUCUAACAAGGUGGUUGAUGUACUACUAGAAUAUCCUAUGAUGUGUGUUAGUAAUGGGAUUUGAAUGACGUGUGUUAGUGAUGUUAUUUGAGUGUGGGAACUGCAGUCUAAUCUGAACAAUGUAACUGCUUCAGUUAGAAAUCACAUGGUGCUGCAUCUUUGUUCA